Molecule: long non-coding RNA, 517 nt
Organism: Heterocephalus glaber (naked mole-rat)
Lineage: Eukaryota; Metazoa; Chordata; Mammalia; Rodentia; Bathyergidae
Source: Ensembl
CAAGUCUGAGGCAGGGCCUAAAACUCUGCAAUUCCAGCUACAUCUCAGCUGACGCCGAGGCUGGAAAUCUAUGGAUCAUAGUUUGGGAGUAAGUCCACGCACUGCAAACUCGAUCCCCAAAGUCAUUGGCUGAUGGCAUUUGAAGGUGGCUCUUCAGGAGCAAGAAGGCCCUCUCCAUCUGCUGGUGCCAUGUGCUUGGGCAUCCCAGCCUCCUGAACGGCUCCAUGGUAGCUAAUUUCCCAUCCCCUCCAUGUUCCAGCUCUGGGAGAAGUGUGACAAAGGCUUCCAAGGGGCUGUCUGCUUGCGGCCCGAUCUUUCACAUGGAUUCUCUUGAGCAGGGAGCCCUCCCUCCUGAGAGCUCUCUGCCCUCAGAGAGGAUCAACCCAGCUGACGCUUUGAGUACGAGCUUCCGGCCUCCAGAACGAGGAGUCUUGCUGUUGUCAGAGUCUUGAUGGAAUUCCUUGAAAAUGAGGGCAUCAUCUUGUGGGUAAGAUCUGAGCAGGCUGCUCAUGCCAGG